UUGCAAUUUAAUCAUCCUUAUAAAUGCUAUGUCUAUAACCAUAUCUACAACUAUAUUUACAUUUUGAAUGCCUUGUCUAUUUGUGUCUCUUAUUACAAAUACAUAAUUAUACUGUGCCAUACCUAUGACUUAUUCUGCAGAAUCUUCUCCAAGAGAAACUUUACUUAACCUGCUUGGCAAUGAUUUAGCACUGUUACUCACAUUUUUUCUUCUUCUAUUUUUCUGUAGAUGAGAUCUCAAAAGAGCUCUCCUUGCUAGUUCUUUCCCUAGAUUGGACUUGGUUGUGCCAUUU
This 292-nucleotide long non-coding RNA is filed under the name Lupinus angustifolius (narrow-leaved blue lupine). Its description in RNAcentral is "long non-coding RNA (LANG_LNC002831)". The record is from RNAcentral. Lineage: Eukaryota; Viridiplantae; Streptophyta; Magnoliopsida; Fabales; Fabaceae.